This is a long non-coding RNA of Carassius gibelio (silver crucian carp), 812 nucleotides long. RefSeq lists it as uncharacterized. Lineage: Eukaryota; Metazoa; Chordata; Actinopteri; Cypriniformes; Cyprinidae. The record is from RefSeq and is a predicted model, not a curated record. The transcript has 4 exons.
GUCUGUUGGUGCACUAGCAGGAGUUUUCUCCAGCCAGCUAACGUCAACUGUCACCGCCGACACCGCGUGCGUGCGUGUGGAGCAGUGAAGCCAAGCCAGCCGACUCCAGAGUCCAGACUCGACAGAAAACGCAGUUAGAGGAAACUUCCCCCCAAGCAGACGUUGAGGACCAGAUUUCUCUGCCAAGCACUCUAAGACUCAUCAUGCUCGGAGAGUCCAUUCUGGGGGCAAAUAGGUGGAUGCUUUCCAUCGAGGGCAGAGUUCUCCAACCAAAUCCAACUGAGUGACCGUUUCGAAUUCAGUACUGCUCUGGCUGUCCUUUUUGCAUCAUACUAUAUAUUUAACAUGGAAUAUCCUGCGGAGGCAGCCACCACAUUAGAAUGUAUCCAGAGGGUAGAAGACUCCAGCCCAGGAAAUUGUCUAAUUCAGGCCCGUUUCUGAAGAAAAAUACAGUUCUGGGAGAAAAACAACAUUCAGGGACCAAAUUCUACUGUUUGAAAUCCUGCUGUUUUUAAAUAAUUAAAUUUGCCUUUUAUACAUUCUAAUUUUAACCGAACAUAUUAAUCCAUUUGAACAGGAUUGAUUUGUAUGUUCAGAAAAGUGUUGUUGUAUACAAAACUAAAUGAAAUGUUAACAGACAAAUGUUUACCUAUUGAAGAUUUUUUUUUUUUUGCUAUGCUAUUUUUAUUUUAUGAAUUUAGAAAUUAAAAGUGUGAAAAGUUAUCAAUAAAUGGCAUUUUUGUGGCAAAAUCAGUGUCUUCAUUUUACAGUACACAAAAUUAAUGCUGUAAUCCUUAUUACAGUAGUAAAAU